UUUUGUGAACCAAGAAAAAUUUAAUAAUCUACAUAUAUUUACAUACAUAAAAUUGAAUUUAGAACAAGUCCAACCAAGAAACGUUCGGGUUGUGUUGUGUGUUGUGUUGUUGCUUUGCGUUGAGUUGUUGGGUGGUUUUUGGGUUGCGUUGAGUCAUUGGGUUGUGUGUUCAGUUGCGUUGCGUUGCGUUCUGUUGAGUUGUGGGUUGAGUUGUGUUGGGUUGAGUUGCGUUGGGUUGAGUUGAGUUGCGUUGGGUUGAGUUGUGGGUUGAGUUGUUGAGUUGCGUUGGGUUGAGUUGCGUUGAGUUGAGUGGUGGGUUGAGUUGUUGAGCGGCGUUGGGUUGAGUUGCGUUGGGUUGAGUUGUGUUGAGUUGUUGAGCUGCGUUGGGUUGAGUUGCGUGGGGUUGAGUUGUGGGUUGAGUUGUUGAGCUGCGUUGGGUUGAGUUGUGGGUUGAGUUGUUGAGCUGCGUUGGGUUGAGUUGUGGGUUGAGUUGUUGAGCUGCGUUGGGUUGAGUUGUGGGUUGAGUUGUUGAGCUGCGUUGGGUUGAGUUGCGUGGGGUUGAGUUGCGUUGGGUUGAGUUGUUGAGCUGCGUUGGGUUGAGUUGUUGAGCUGCGUUGGGUUGAGUUGUUGAGCUGCGUUGGGUUGAGCUGCGUUGGGUUGAGUUGCGUUGGGUUGAGUUGCGUUGGGUUGAGUUGUUGAGCUGCGUUGGGUUGAGUUGUUGAGCUGCGUUGGGUUGAGUUGCGUUGGGUUGAGUUGCGUUGGGUUGAGUUGUUGAGCUGCGUUGGGUUGAGUUGCGUGGGGUUGAGUUGCGUUGGGUUGAGUUGCGUGGGGUUGAGUUGCGUUGGGUUGAGUUGUUGAGCUGCGUUGGGUUGAGUUGUUGAGCUGCGUUGGGUUGAGUUGCGUUGGGUUGAGUUGUGUUGGGUUGAGUUGUUGAGCUGCGUUGGGUUGAGUUGUGUUGGGUUGAGUUGUUGAGCUGCGUUGGGUUGAGUUGCGUUGGGUUGAGUUGUUGAGCUGCGUUGGGUUGAGUUGCGUGGGGUUGAGUUGCGUUGGGUUGAGCUGCGUUGGGUUGAGUUGCGUUGGGUUGAGUUGCGUUGGGUUGAGUUGCAUUGGGUUGAGUUGUGGGUUGAGUUGUUGAGCUGCGUUGGGUUGAGUUGCGUUGGGUUGAGUUGUGGGUUGAGUUGUUGAGCUGCGUUGGGUUGAGUUGCGUUGGGUUGAGUUGUGGGUUGGGUUGUUGAGCUGCGUUGGGUUGAGCUGCGUUGGGUUGAGUUGCGUUGGGUUGAGUUGUUGAGCUGCGUUGGGUUGAGUUGUGGGUUGAGUUGUUGAGUUGCGUUGGGUUGAGUUGCGUUGGGUUGAGUUGUGGGUUGGGUUGUUGAGUUGCGUUGGGUUGAGUUGCGUUGGGUUGAGUUGUGGGUUGAGUUGUUGAGUUGCGUUGGGUUGAGUUGCGUUGGGUUGAGUUGUGGGUUGAGUUGUUGAGUUGCGUUGGGUUGAGUUGCGUUGGGUUGAGUUGUGGGUUGGGUUGUUGAGUUGCGUUGGGUUGAGUUGUGGGUUGAGUUGUUGAGCUGCGUUGGGUUGGGUUGUGGGUUGAGUUGUUGAGCUGCGUUGGGUUGAGUUGUGGGUUGAGUUGUUGAGCUGCGUUGGGUUGAGUUGUGGGUUGAGUUGUUGAGCUGCGUUGGGUUGAGUUGUGGGUUGAGUUGUUGAGUUGCGUUGGGUUGAGUUGUUGAGCUGCGUUGGGUUGAGUUGUUGAGCUGCGUUGGGUUGGGUUGUGGGUUGAGUUGUUGAGCUGCGUUGGGUUGAGUUGUGGGUUGAGUUGUUGAGUUGCGUUGGGUUGAGUUGUUGAGUUGCGUUGGGUUGAGUUGUUGAGCUGCGUUGGGUUGGGUUGUGGGUUGAGUUGUUGAGCUGCGUUGGGUUGAGUUGUGUUGGGUUGAGUUGUGGGUUGAGUUGUUGAGCUGCGUUGGGUUGAGUUGUUGAGUUGCGUUGGGUUGAGUUGUGUUGGGUUGAGUUGUGGGUUGAGUUGUUGAGUUGCGUUGGGUUGGGUUGUGGGUUGAGUUGUUGAGCUGCGUUGGGUUGAGUUGUUGAGUUGCGUUGGGUUGAGUUGUGGGUUGAGUUGUUGAGUUGCGUUGGGUUGAGUUGUUGAGUUGCGUUGGGUUGAGUUGUUGAGCUGCGUUGGGUUGGGUUGUGGGUUGAGUUGUUGAGCUGCGUUGGGUUGAGUUGUGGGUUGAGUUGUUGAGCUGCGUUGGGUUGAGUUGUUGAGUUGCGUUGGGUUGGGUUGUGGGUUGAGUUGUUGAGCUGCGUUGGGUUGAGUUGUUGAGUUGCGUUGGGUUGAGUUGUUGAGUUGCGUUGGGUUGAGUUGUUGAGCUGCGUUGGGUUGAGUUGUUGAGCUGCGUUGGGUUGAGUUGUGUUGGGUUGAGUUGUGGGUUGAGUUGUUGACCUGCGUUGGGUUGAGUUGUGUUGGGUUGAGUUGCGUUGGGUUGAGUUGUGUUGGGUUGAGUUGUGGGUUGAGUUGUUGAGCUGCGUUGGGGUGGGUUGUGGGGUGAGUUGUUGAGCUGCGUUGGGCUGGAGCUGUGGGUUGAGUUGUGGAGUUGCGUGGGGGUGAGUUGUUGAGUUGCGGUGGGUUGUGUUGUUGAGCUGCGUUGGGUUGAGUUGUGGGGUGAGUUGUUGAGCUGCGUUGGGUUGAGUUGCGUUGGGCUGAGUUGUGGGCUGAGUUGUUGAGCUGCGUUGGGCUGAGUUGUUGAGCUGCGCUGGGCUGAGCUGUGUUGGGCUGAGCUGUGGGCUGAGCUGUUGAGCUGCGCUGGGCUGGGCUGUGGGCUGAGCUGUUGAGCUGCGCUGGGCUGAGCUGUUGAGUUGCGCUGGGCUGAGCUGUGGGCUGAGCUGUUGAGCUGCGUUGGGUUGAGUUGCUGAGCUGCGUUGGGUUGAGUUGUUGAGCUGCGCUGGGCUGGGCUGUGGGUUGAGUUGUUGAGCUGCGUUGGGUUGAGUUGGUGAGUUGCGUUGGGUUGAGUUGUUGAGCUGCGUUGGGUUGAGUUGUUGAGCUGCGCUGGGCCGAGCUGUUGAGCUGCGUUGGGUUGAGUUGAGUUGUGUUGAGUUGUGGGCUGAGUUGUUGAGCUGCGCUGGGCUGAGUUGUGUUGGGCUGAGCUGUGGGCUGAGCUGUUGAGCUGCGCUGGGCUGAGGUGUGGGCUGAGUUGCUGAGCUGCGUUGGGUUGAGUUGCGUUGGGUUGAGUUGUGUUGGGUUGAGUUGUGGGUUGAGUUGUUGAGUUGCGUUGGGUUGAGUUGUGGGUUGAGUUGUUGAGCUGCGUUGGGUUGAGUUGUGGGUUGAGUUGUUGAGUUGCGUUGGGUUGAGUUGUUGAGCUGCGUUGGGUUGAGUUGCGUUGGGUUGAGUUGUGUUGGGUUGAGUUG
This 3390-nucleotide long non-coding RNA is filed under the name Podarcis lilfordi (Lilford's wall lizard). Lineage: Eukaryota; Metazoa; Chordata; Lepidosauria; Squamata; Lacertidae. The record is from RNAcentral.